GUCUCCAGUAUGCUAAAUUCCUAAGAAAAAGUUCUUUAGUGGUAUCUAAAGAUAUUUAGACAAAGAAUAUUGCAUCUUCUAGAAAUAUAACCAAUGGCAGUCAAGAAUUCCUUUUCUCUUCUACUAUCGUCAUUGAUGAUGUUUGCUCUGAUCUGCAUACCCACAAUUUCAGGAGAAAUCAAAUUCUGUGGGAUGAAAUGUUAUAGCACACCGGAAUGCAAUGCAACAUGCAUGCACGAAGGAUACGAAAAAGGGAUAUGUCUACAAAACGAUUACGGUAGUCUUGAAUGUUGCUGCCAAGGUAAUCUUCGAUCUAAUGCUGGUUCUCCCAUUUCCAGUGUGGAUCUUACUAAAUGAUCAUUCAUGUUAUAUGUACUUUCAGUUAUAUGAAUAAAAGAAAUAGGACAACCGAUAACAUAUUUCU
Molecule: long non-coding RNA, 424 nt
Organism: Brassica oleracea var. oleracea
Lineage: Eukaryota; Viridiplantae; Streptophyta; Magnoliopsida; Brassicales; Brassicaceae
Exons: 3
Source: RefSeq, a predicted model, not a curated record